CAUCCCCUGCGGUGUGCGUGAUGAGCCGAAUGCGUUGACCCUACAAUCAUUGUUUCGGAUGUCGGAUCCGUCUGGCCGCGUGUAUAUCCGAUGCUGCGAAUGCAGCCUCUCGGCUCACACAACCCGGGCGUUCGGCAUCCACCUGAACAUUAAGGGUUCAGAUAACCAUCAGUGCUCACACGGCUCGCGCGGAGGUUGC
This is a non-coding RNA of Planctopirus limnophila DSM 3776, 199 nucleotides long. It matches the Rfam family "6S / SsrS RNA". From Rfam's summary of the family: E. coli 6S RNA was the first non coding RNA to be sequenced, but its function was unknown until recently. It consists of 184 nucleotides that fold into an extended hairpin structure with a large single-stranded internal bulge. The record is from Rfam. NCBI's taxonomy places the organism in Bacteria, Pseudomonadati, Planctomycetota, Planctomycetia, Planctomycetales, Planctomycetaceae.